This 467-nucleotide ribosomal RNA is filed under the name uncultured bacterium. RNAcentral's name for it is "partial 16S ribosomal RNA". It matches the Rfam family "Bacterial small subunit ribosomal RNA", at positions 28 to 507 of the family's 1533-position model. The record is from RNAcentral.
GACGAACGCUGGCGGCGUGCUUAACACAUGCAAGUCGAACGGAAAGGCCUCUUUCGGGGGGUACUCGAGUGGCGAACGGGUGAGUAACACGUGAGUAGCCUGCCCUUGACUUUGGGAUAACUUCAGGAAACUGGGGCUAAUACCGGAUAGGAGCUCCUGCUGCAUGGUGGGGGUUGGAAAGUUUCGGCGGUUGGGGAUGGACUCGCGGCUUAUCAGCUUGUUGGUGGGGUAGUGGCUUACCAAGGCUUUGACGGGUAGCCGGCCUGAGAGGGUGACCGGCCACAUUGGGACUGAGAUACGGCCCAGACUCCUACGGGAGGCAGCAGUGGGGAGUAUUGCACAAUGGGUGGAAGCCUGAUGCAGCAACGCCGUGUGCGGGAUGACGGCCUUCGGGUUGUAAACCGCUUUCGCUCAUGACGAAGCUUUGUGUGACGGUAGUGGGUAAAGAAGCACCGGCUAACUACGUG